RNAcentral lists this ribosomal RNA (791 nucleotides) under uncultured bacterium. Its description in RNAcentral is "bacterial SSU rRNA". It matches the Rfam family "Bacterial small subunit ribosomal RNA", at positions 28 to 817 of the family's 1533-position model. The record is from RNAcentral.
AUUGAACGCUGGCGGCAGGCUUAACACAUGCAAGUCGAACGAUGACUAACUAGCUUGCUAGUUAUGAUUAGUGGCGGACGGGUGAGUAACAUUUAGGAAUCUGCCUAGUAGUGGGGGAUAGCUCGGGGAAACUCGAAUUAAUACCGCAUACGACCUACGGGUGAAAGGGGGCGCAAGCUCUUGCUAUUAGAUGAGCCUAAAUCAGAUUAGCUAGUUGGUGGGGUAAAGGCCUACCAAGGCGACGAUCUGUAACUGGUCUGAGAGGAUGAUCAGUCACACCGGAACUGAGACACGGUCCGGACUCCUACGGGAGGCAGCAGUGGGGAAUAUUGGACAAUGGGGGCAACCCUGAUCCAGCCAUGCCGCGUGUGUGAAGAAGGCCUUUUGGUUGUAAAGCACUUUAAGCAGGGAGGAGAGGCUAAUGGUUAAUACCCAUUAGAUUAGACGUUACCUGCAGAAUAAGCACCGGCUAACUCUGUGCCAGCAGCCGCGGUAAUACAGAGGGUGCGAGCGUUAAUCGGAAUUACUGGGCGUAAAGCGAGUGUAGGUGGCUCAUUAAGUCACAUGUGAAAUCCCCGGGCUUAACCUGGGAACUGCAUGUGAUACUGGUGGUGCUAGAAUAUGUGAGAGGGAAGUAGAAUUCCAGGUGUAGCGGUGAAAUCCGUAGAUAUUAGAAGGAACACCAAUGGCGAAGGCAGGCGACUGGCAUAUUUCUGACGCUGAGGCUCGAAAGCGUAGGUAGCGAACGGGAUUAGAUACCCCGGUAGUCUACGCCGUAAACGAUGGAUACU